AUACGAAGGGGGCUAGCGUUGUUCGGAUUUACUGGGCGUAAAGCGCACGUAGGCGGAUUGGUCAGUUAGAGGUGAAAUCCCAGAGCUCAACUCUGGAACUGCCUUUAAUACUGCCAGUCUCGAGUCCGGAAGAGGUGAGUGGAACUCCUAGUGUAGAGGUGGAAUUCGUAGAUAUUAGGAAGAACCCCAGUGGCGAAGGCGGCUCACUGGUCCGGUACUGACGCUGAGGUGCGAAAGCGUGGGGAGC
Molecule: ribosomal RNA, 247 nt
Filed under: uncultured bacterium
Lineage: Bacteria
Description: partial 16S ribosomal RNA
Rfam family: Bacterial small subunit ribosomal RNA
Source: RNAcentral